Molecule: ribosomal RNA, 449 nt
Filed under: uncultured bacterium
Lineage: Bacteria
Description: partial 16S ribosomal RNA
Rfam family: Bacterial small subunit ribosomal RNA
Source: RNAcentral
AGCGAACGCUGGCGGCAGGCCUAACACAUGCAAGUCGAGCGCCGUAGCAAUACGGAGCGGCAGACGGGAUAGUAAAACGUGGGAACGUGCCCUUUGGUUCGGAAUAACUCAGGGAAACUUGAGCUAAUACCGGAUAAGACCUUACGGGGAAAGAUUUAUUGCCAUUGGAGCGGCCCGCGUCGGAUUAGCUAGUUGGUGAGGUAAUGGGUCACCAAGGCGACGAUCCGUAGCUGGUCUGAGAGGAUGACCAGCAUCACUGGGACUGAGACACGGCCCAGACUCCUACGGGGGGCAGCAGUGGGGAAUAUUGGAAAAUGGGCGCAAGCCUGAUCCAGCCAUGCCGCGUGGAUGAUGAAGGCCCUAGGGUUGUAAAGUCCUUUUAACGGGGAAGAUAAUGACGGUACCCGUAGAAUAAGCCCCGGCUAACUUCGUGCCAGCAGCCGCCGUAA